ACGUCACAAAACACUCGUUAAUGGGAUGGGUCAGGUGCUCGAUAAGGAAGAUGGUCAAAGUAUAUUUUGGAAAACAUGACUAAAAUCAAAUAUCUACCAUGGAUACAUUCAUAUCUGACAGAGAAGUAAUGGCAGAAGAACCUGAUGAUGCCAUCUCAGUCGUUGACGUAUACGACCAAGCCGCGUCAAUUGGCAAAGAAUUCGAAAGAAUGAUAGAAACAUUCGGCGUCGAAGCAGUCACUGAUUUGAUGCCAAAAGUGAUCAAAGCAUUAGAAAAUUUAGAAUCAUUGGCAGCUAGAUAUGAACGUGAGAAUACAGAAAUAACGGAACUAAGGACGACAAUUCAAAAAUUGGAAUCUGAGAAAAACGAAAAGGCACAAGAAAGAAUGAAAUAUGAAGAGGAGCUUGAACAGAUAGAAGAAAACUGGCACAGAGAGACAAAAGACCUAUAUAAUUCUAUUAAUAGAUUAGAAAUUGACAACAGAAGGUUAAAGGAACAUCUACAAAACCAGACUGUAGCAGUAAAAGAGGAAGUAGCUGCUGUAACUAAACAAACUGAGGAAAAAGAAAUUGAAGUUCUGAUGAAGUUAAAAGAUACUGUUGACAAGCAGAGAGAUGAUCUAAGGAAACAAAAAAGAGACCUGAGUCAAAAAAAUAUAGAUUGUGAAGCACUACAGACACAAUUAGAACAAGUUGUGAAAGUAAAUACAGAACUUCGUAAGAAAAACACAACACAUAAAAAACAAUCUAGAACUUUGUUGGAAGAAAAGAGUGAGUUAGAGGCUCAGCUUGUAGAUAAAGAACAACAGAUUCAUCAAAUACAGGAAAUAAUGAGGGAUCAAGAGUCUCAGGAAGAUGAUAGAGUAGACACACCCACUCAGGAAAAGUCCAACCCACUGAGAGAAGUCGAAGUAGAUGAAGAGCCACAUCAAAAGAACUUACAUGAAGAUAUUAUUGAACAUUCCGUUGACAAUUUCAUUCCAAAUGAUGAACCUACCGACGAAAGUUUAGAAAAAUUACAACAAAAACUUAGUAUGGUUGGCAAAAUGGUGAUUGACUUAAAAGAUCCUAACCGUCCGCGAUUUACAUUAAAUGAAUUACGAACUGUUUUAUUGGAGAGAAAUGAACUUAAAACAAAACUUAUAGCCGUAGAGGAGGAAUUAGCUGACUAUAAACCAAAACCUGCUAACCAGUUAAUGACCAGUUUUGCAUCAGAUGGGGAUAGUGCUGAUGACACAAAGUCAAAUGAUUCAUACACUGGUGAGGAACUUCCUGUGUAUGGACCAAUUAAUAAAGAACCUUACGAGAAGCUUUAUCCUGGAAGACGAAGAGAAUCAGGCAUUAGAAAAUUUUUCAGAUCGUUGUUUGGAACAUCACCAUCAACCUCUCCUGUUCAAGAAAGAAGACGAAGCCAUCAACACUGACGGGAAUAUGCAAAUGAUGAAUGCUUUUAUGACUUUGAAGUCAAUGUUGCCCUUGAUUGGGCACAUUUUGAAGAUGGUAUCUCGUUGUCAUGGGACAUAUAGUCUCUUAACUGUGAUAUUGCUGCAGAAAUUGCUCUCCAUAUCACAAGAAAAUAUUUUGUAUGAUCUUUAAUUUUGAGAUGAUUAUUUUCAAAAUUUCAAAUAUACCAUAGGUAUCAUAUUAUAAGCUCUAGGGAACUGAAUAUUUCUUAAAGGGGAUGUGCAAUAGAGUCUUUGAAACCAUGCUUGUGAAUUAUUAAAUUAUCUCUAAUUAAAAGUUAAAUGUAUUUUUACUAUUCCACCUUAACAAUUGGUUGUGUCUAAAAUCAAUAAAAGGAAAAUAUGCAGCUUCAUUUAUAUAUUGGUAAGUAUAAUCCUAGUUUGGCCCAAAGCAAGAAUAGUGAAGAAAACUAUCAGUAACCAACUGAAUACAGAUUUCUUCACCUUUGUUUGGUAUAAUUAAAAGUUACUGUUCACAUUUUUUUAAUUUGCCAACAAAUUACAGUAAAUUAUUCAAUUUAUUUAUUUGCUAACUGAUUGAAGGUUGUUUUGUCAAAAUUUGCAAGGUGGUGUGUUAGAGCAAGAGCUUGUUUUAUGAUAAAUAUGGUACAUACAUGUACUUCUUGCAAAAAUAUGUAUUCUUUAGGCAAUUUUUGAACAAAGAGUCAACAGGUUCAAAUUUUUUUAUGGAUGUUUGACCUUAAUGUCAAUCACAAUAUAAAGGAAAUCGUAUGUACUCAUUCUUUCUAUGGUAUAAUUAUUUAUGGUAUGGGCAGUAUGAUACUGUCCAUGCAUAUUUUAUUUAACUUUGUUUUUAAUUUUUUUAACAAAUGUUGACAUACAAUAAUAAGUUGGCUGGUUCCAACUGUUUGACAUAGAAAGUGAACCAAAAACUGGUGGAAUUUUUUUCAAUAUUUAUUUUUAAUCUGAAAUUGUUUCCUAUUCUGAAAUUAUAUUGUUAGAUUUAAAAAAAAAUUAUUAGAGUGGAUAAUAUCGGGAAUGUCAUGUUGAAAUAUUAAAAUUUCGAUAUUUCAUGAAGGUAUUAUUUCCAAUAUGAUCUAAUAGAUAUGGGUAUUUAAGUCAAGACUCUUAUGAUUUCCUAAACAUAUUUAAAAACAAUGUGCUCUAGUAAUCACAAAUAAUUUCAAAUAUGGAGCUUUAUAAUGAUGGUAAAAUAAUUAUUCUAAUGAACACUUGUUUUGGUGGCGCCCUCUUAUUUAAUAUGUUGGUUUAACAGAUAUACAACAUUAUUGUUGUGAAAAGUUAACAGUCUGAAUUAAAAAGGGAAAGUAUAGUAUGAGAAAACACUUUCAGCAUUGUGAGUUUGUCAUCCACUAUGAGUUUGAAUAUCCCUUUGGUAACUUCCACAUCUUUUUUACACUAGAAACAAAGUUUACUUCUAUUAAAUGCUGUAUAUUUUUAUAUUAUUUUAUUUUUGUGUUAACUGCAAAAGAAUAUUUAUAAAACACAUCUGUAGCAUUUUUACUUACUAUUAUAAGUAAAUUAGUAUAUGCAUAUAAAAUGCUCAAGCAUACGCAACUAAUAAAUAGUCAAUAGAAUAGAAUGCGCUUAUAGAUAAAAUAUAAAUAUAUUCGAAAGUAUUCUUUAUUUUCUGAUUUUUUUGUCAAAAAGGUUGAUUCAGGGUUGAAAUAGGGAGAAUGAAGCUAAUAUACUUCCCCUAUAAAGAAAAAGCAAUAUCUAAUUUUGAUAGGUGUCACUUCAUUUAAAGCCAUGAAUCUGUAUAUGGCAUUAUUAAUUCAGUGUAAAUAUCUUAGUUUCUUUAGAAAAAUAAGGUUGUGCGUAUUAGUAUUAGUUUUCUAAUUUAGAAUGCAUAUUAAAUGCUGCAUGGAAUGUUUUAACCAAUGACAAUGACUAAGGUACAUGUAUGUUUAUAUGUCCCAUGACAACCAUUGUCAUAGAAACAUUCUGAUGCAUUGUGGGACCAGAUUUGCAAAUAGCAUAUCAAAAUACUCAUAAAACAGUUUGCAUGAAUGGUAUGGAUAAAAGGGUUUGUACAUUUUGCUUGUGUUUUGUAUGGAAAAGUAAGGAGUUCAUUUUUGUUCAUUUAAGCAAAGCGGCUUUAGUUUACUUCAUUUUGACAGGGUCUGUUACUUUUAAUGGCACUAAAUCAUGAUUUAGUAAUUUGAUAAUGGAAAGAAAUUUUCAAUUUGAUUAUCGAUAUGGAAUAACAACCAAAUUGUAACUUGUUUAAAUUUCUCAAGUCUAAUUAAUAAAUAAUAUGCAUAACAUAAAGUUACUUAAAGUGCUGUGAAUUUUGCUUGCAGUUAUUUAUUAAUAUUAAGCUAAACUGUGCCAAUAUACCUCUAUGUUUUAACACAUUUUUGUUUAUUUUGUUGAUGUUAUGAUGGACAUGUAAUAGUUGCAAAGUUUUAUUUAAAAGAAUUGUAAAAUACUUUCUAUUUUAAUAUACAGCUGGCAUGACCUCUUGGUCUGUAUUGAAAAUACUAAAUAUACUAAACUUAGUCAUUUAAAACACUAUAGAAGAUUUUUUCAAUUUUUGAUACGGUUUAAGAAAAGUUCUGAAAUUAACAUUAAUUUCUGUCUUAAAUACAACAUGUUAAGCUUUAGAAUGCCCUGAAUCUGGAAGAAUUUUUAAGAAUUUUAACAGAGAUCAUAAAAAAUGUUGUCAUUCAAAUUAUAAAAAAUAAAUCGGACAAAAGAAAUCUGACUGAAACUGAUUACCCUCAACAAGUAGAAAAUAUGGCCCCUCUAAUAUAAUAAACUUUUCGCGCUCAAAAAGAACAGUAUAGACUAUAAAUAAAAGCAAGACUUUAACUUGUAUCCUGUUAGCAAUAAGUCACAGUUAUUGUCAUUUAUAGAUGUGUUCCAUAAAUUUUAUUUUUGCUCUUUAACAUUUUUGAUAUGAGCGUCACUGAUGAGUCUUUUGUAGACAAAUCAUCUAAAUGUGUAAACAAACUACAUGUAUAAUGUGUAGGCUUUGUGAUUUGUGAUUCGUAUCUUUAGGUGUAAUACCACUAAAUCAUAGAACGUCACAUCCGGUUGCAUAUGAAAAAGGGUAGAAAAAAAAUAUUCCCUUGAAUUUGACAGUUGUAGGAAAUUAAUCCUACAUUUCAUUGCAGUAAAAAAUUUCUGAGUCAUAAACAUAUGUCUUGGGUGUUUCAAAGCACCAUUCUAUUUUUAUUUGGUGUUUCUAUAAAAUAAAUUUGAAUCUUGAGGUUACAUGGUUACUAAAGCUUGUAAACAGGGCAAAAGGGGGUGAAAAUUUGAUUAGUUAACUUCCAGUGAUGGUUAUUAUCUUAUAUGCAAUGAAAUGUUAUGUGAACUUUUUUCUGUAGUACUGGACAGGAUAAAACUUUACUCAUGCCAAGUAUUUCUUUAUUUGAAACAAAGAUAAAUUCUGCACAAUUUUUUGAAAAGUGCAAAUUUAACAAAGACUUAUAGGGGAAAAACAAUGGUGGUAUUACUCCAGAACAACAACUUUGCAGCUAUUAUGUUAAUUGUUUGUUAUAUAUUUUGUUAAGUUUUCGUAUUAAGUUGUGAUAUUUGUACAUAUGUUUUUAUGUUUGUAUCAAUAUAAUAAAAUUAUGUAAUAAAAUUAUAAGUUCAAUGUAUAGUAGAAGAAAAAAAAUAUUACAAAUCUUGAACGGAAAUCUGCGAAGCCUUGAUUUUAAUUUUUCUAACAAUAAUUUAUAUUGAUUUUUUAAACUUAGAUAAAUAGUCAAUUAUAUGACUCAAAUAUGUAUUAAACCAAUAUUGAUUUGCUUUAUUUUAUUUUAACUAUCUGGUUCUAACAAAAAAAAAACACACCUCGGAAAUAUCAACAGCUUCACAUUUGUUGUUGAUAAAAUAAUCCAUGUAACACAAUAUUUGAAUAUACUACAAGAUUUAGAAUGGUGAAGAGAGCUGGAAUCUCUGUUUUAUCAAAAUACACUGAUUUUAACCAUAAAAUUCUAUGGGUCAUUUCAGCAGGACUAGAGAAAUCUUUUUAGUGAAAAGAGUCACAAAUUAUUCCCGAAAGGCUACACUAUUUGAGAUCGUGGUAGGAUUUUACUAUCCACUACUUGAUUUAUUAUGAAUUAAUGAUUGAUGAAAUAACUGACAAUUUCAAUAUAAGAAUCCUGCCCGAUCUUAUCACAUGUUUGUUUUGAAUAGAAAACAUUUGUUCACGAAAACACAUGCAAUAAACACCAGUUCUCACAUUUCUGAAUUUAACAAAAGGAACUAUUAUCUGAUAACCAGAUGAUUAACUGUGUAUGACCUAAAUCAUGGCUGUUUUAUAAAUGGUAUUAUUACUAUACAACCCUUAAUUAAUAGAUUUUAAUGAUUUUUAACUAAACAAUGCUCUUUUAGUGUAUUAUAAAUAAAAAAACUUGAAAUUUAUGAUUUAUAUAAAAUAAAUGGUGCAUUUUUAUCUUUUGAACAAGUAUGGCAUUAUAAAGAGGACCAUCUUUUUUUAUAUAAAAUGUGUGUUGUUUUAUUAGAUGAUGUUUGGUGCUGCUUUCAUUAUGAUUAAAAUAUGGUUUUACAUUUAAAUGUUUGGAGCUUAUUUAUAAAGAAAAUACUAUUUAAAUUUUGUCAAAAAGUUCUGGAAAUAAUAUAUGCAUUUUGUUUUUUCACAUUGGCAUUUUAUGUUUACAAGCCAGAACUACUGGAUGAAGAGCCAUUUAUUUAGCUUUGUAGUGGAAGGCUGAUUUUUGCUGGUUCUUGGCUCCCGUUUUUUAUUUUUGGUGCUUUUUGUUCAGUUUACCUUGGGAAGAACUUUGCUAGUAGUCUCUUGUUAGAAUUCAAUUGAAUAACAACUAACAGUUAGUUUUGAUUAUAUCAUUAUUAAAGUGAGUUUUGAUUAUACUAUAUCAUUAUUAAAAAAUCAUAGAUAAUCAAGGUACAAUAUGCCAUUUUUUGGACCAUAUCAAAUUCUUAGAUAUAAUAAGUGCAUGGUUACUAUUAUUAGUUACUGUAAAUUCAGAAAUUAAUGCUUUGUGAAUCCUUGUCCUCUGUCAAAAAUGCCAAAUCUAAUUAAUACGAUUGCAAAAAAAAUAACAAAGGAAAAUCACUACUGAAAUUAUGAAUGUGAGUUUUUACUAUUGUGAACCUGAUAUCGUUGCAUUUUUAGCAUUAAUAAAAUCAUCGCAAUAAUUUCUUUAAUUUACAGUAUAAUUCGUAAUACAGUAAGUAACUUAGCCUUGACAAUUUCCUUCCUUGUUAGAAGAACUAAUUUGAUUAUUUUGCUUAGAUAAGGUAAAAUGUUGAAGAUUUGACUGUAAACUAUUUCACAUUAUUGAAAAAUAAUAUAUUUUCAUAACUGGAAAGUUAGAAAUAACUUUAUAUUGUCUGAGUAAUAGUGCUUAAUCUCUUAUUUGAGAAAAUUACUGAGUGUCUUUAUUUUUUGAAACUGCACUAUUAUAUAUGUAUUAAGUCUAAAUUUUUAUUUCAAUAAUCAGUAAGAUAUUGUUUAGUGUUAUUGUAGUGAUGAAAUUAUUGAAAAACAAGAUAGACCUAGGUUAAAGGACUUUUAAUCAGUACUGGCUGGUUUGUGUCAACCAUUUUAUAAUAUAUUCCAAGCUUCUAAGUUACAGAGAUUAUUUUAUUUCUUUUUUUUGCACACGAACGUUUUAACAUCAUUGAUGAGACUAUUAGAAACAUACAUAGACAUAGAAAACUUUAUUUGAAUUCAGAAUAAAACAAACUGAUUAGCUUUUUACAGAAUACAUUUCUGAUACAUGUAUAUGGAGUUAUCUCCCAUAACCUAGGUCUUCUCUGUUGAAGCCAGUGAAAGGAUUUGUUAGGAACUGAAUACAAUGUGUAUACUUGUAUUGUGUAGCAUCUCUGUUCAGUAGACAUGAUAAUGUUUUGAAAUAAGUGGUUGAAAUAGUGUUUACUGGUAGGCCUUUUGUGUUCUAAAAUUCUAUUUUGUGAAAUCAUUCUAAGAAUAUUGCUCACUUGAUACAUCUGAAGCUAUGUUGCCUGAAAGGAAAAAUAAAGAUAGUAAUGAAAUGAUUAUAAGGAAUAAGUUUUAAUGGAAAUUAAAAUCCUCUAGUAUUUCUUAAUUGUAGGAAAUCAGACAAAAUUAAAAAAAAAGGACUUCUAGCCAUGAAACAUUUCCAUUUUGGUUGUUGAAAUACAGUGAAACAUAUCAAACCGAACCCUGCAUAACCAAAAAUCUUUACAAAGUGAAGUUAUGUAUCUGAGCAUUCAAUGAAUAAUCUUAGUGAUUUAGAUCAGGUAAGCUUUACACCUGCAUGCUUGGAACAAAAUGAUUACUAUAGAAGGGAGCAUGUUUUAGUCCAUUAGACCAGAAAGUAAUGUUCAGACAAAACAAUAAGGCAAAGCAGUAUUUAAAUUUUAAUAAUAAAAUGAAGUUCAAAGUU
Mytilus californianus (California mussel) is the source of this 7813-nucleotide RNA transcript. It is a transcript of the gene named RILP-like protein 1, with no coding region annotated. The record is from RefSeq and is a predicted model, not a curated record. NCBI's taxonomy places the organism in Eukaryota, Metazoa, Mollusca, Bivalvia, Mytilida, Mytilidae. The transcript has 9 exons.